GGCUGAUCCAAGGGCAGUGGUUUUUACAACUAAUUGAUAACAAUCAGUUACAAAUUCCAUUGUUCCUUGUCCACUCCCACUGCUUCACUUGACUAGCCUCAA
Unclassified non-coding RNA from Otolemur garnettii (small-eared galago), 102 nucleotides. It matches the Rfam family "Y RNA". From Rfam's summary of the family: Y RNAs are components of the Ro ribonucleoprotein particle (Ro RNP), in association with Ro60 and La proteins. The Y RNAs and Ro60 and La proteins are well conserved, but the function of the Ro RNP is not known. In humans the RNA component can be one of four small RNAs -- hY1, hY3, hY4 and hY5. NCBI's taxonomy places the organism in Eukaryota, Metazoa, Chordata, Mammalia, Primates, Galagidae. The record is from Ensembl.